AUUGAACGCUGGCGGAAUGCUUUACACAUGCAAGUCGAGCGGCAGCGCGGGGCAACCUGGCGGCGAGCGGCGAACGGGUGAGUAAUACAUCGGAACGUGCCCAGACGUGGGGGAUAACUACUCGAAAGAGUGGCUAAUACCGCAUACGAUCUACGGAUGAAAGCGGGGGAUCGCAAGACCUCGCGCGUCUGGAGCGGCUGAUGGCAGAUUAGGUAGUUGGUGGGAUAAAAGCCUACCAAGCCAACGAUCUGUAGCUGGUCUGAGAGGAUGAUCAGCCACACUGGGACUGAGACACGGCCCAGACUCCUACGGGAGGCAGCAGUGGGGAAUUUUGGACAAUGGGCGAAAGCCUGAUCCAGCCAUUCCGCGUGCAGGAUGAAGGCCCUCGGGUUGUAAACUGCUUUGUACAGAACGAAAAAGACUCUGGCUAAUACCUGGAGUCCAUGACGGUACUGUAAGAAUAAGCACCGGCUAACUACGUGCCAGCAGCCG
Molecule: ribosomal RNA, 492 nt
Filed under: uncultured bacterium
Lineage: Bacteria
Description: bacterial SSU rRNA
Rfam family: Bacterial small subunit ribosomal RNA
Source: RNAcentral